Molecule: small nucleolar RNA, 175 nt
Filed under: Zea mays
Lineage: Eukaryota; Viridiplantae; Streptophyta; Magnoliopsida; Poales; Poaceae
Description: Small nucleolar RNA Z112
Rfam family: Small nucleolar RNA Z112
About the family: Z112 is a member of the C/D class of snoRNA which contain the C (UGAUGA) and D (CUGA) box motifs. Most of the members of the box C/D family function in directing site-specific 2'-O-methylation of substrate RNAs.
Source: Rfam by way of RNAcentral
GCCCCUGUGAAGAUCAAAAAACUUAUGAUAGUAAGUGUCGUUUGACACUAUAAAUAGCAGCUACUGCUCUCAGCUGCAGGAGUCCAUCUCUUAAACAUAACCUUUGUGGUUUGCUCAGUCUAGAGUUGUUUUGUUUCAACUGUGGUGUGUGAUUAAAAUUGGGUCUCUAAGGCUU